UACGGGAGGCAGCAGUGGGGAAUAUUGCACAAUGGGCGCAAGCCUGAUGCAGCCAUGCCGCGUGUAUGAAAAAGGCCUUCGGGUUGUAAAGUACUUUCAGUCGUGAGGAAGGUGUUAAGGUUAAUAACCUUAGCAAUUGACGUUAGCGACAGAAGAAGCACCGGCUAACUCCGUGCCAGCAGCCGCGGUAAUACGGAGGGUGCGAGCGUUAAUCGGAAUUACUGGGCUAAAGGGCACGCAGGCGGUUAAUUAAGUUGGAUGUGAAAUCCCCGGGCUUAACCUGGGAAUGGCAUUCAAGACUGGUUAGCUAGAGUCUUGUAGAGGGGGUAGAAUUCCAUGUGUAGCGGUGAAAUGCGUAGAGAUGUGGAGGAAUACCGGUGGCGAAGGCGGCCCCUGGACAAAGACUGACGCUCAUGUGCGAAAGCGUGGGGAGCAAACAGGGAUUAGAUAC
Molecule: ribosomal RNA, 451 nt
Filed under: uncultured bacterium
Lineage: Bacteria
Description: bacterial SSU rRNA
Rfam family: Bacterial small subunit ribosomal RNA
Source: RNAcentral